GACGAACGCUGGCGGCGUGCUUAACACAUGCAAGUCGAACGGAAAGGCCCUGCUUUUGUGGGGUGCUCGAGUGGCGAACGGGUGAGUAACACGUGAGUAACCUGCCCUUGACUUUGGGAUAACUUCAGGAAACUGGGGCUAAUACCGGAUAGGUGCUCCUGCUGCAUGGUGGGGGUUGGACAGUUUCGGCGGUUGGGGAUGGACUCGCGGCUUAUCAGCUUGUUGGUGGGGUAGUGGCUUACCAAGGCUUUGACGGGUAGCCGGCCUGAGAGGGUGACCAGCCACAUUGGGACUGAGAUACGGCCCAGACUCCUACGGGAGGCAGCAGUGGGGAAUAUUGCACAAUGGGCGGAAGCCUGAUGCAGCAACGCCGCGUGCGGGAUGACGGCCUUCGGGUUGUAAACCGCUUUCGCCUGUGACGAAGCGUGAGUGACGGUAAUGGGUAAAGAAGCACCGGCUAACUACGUG
RNAcentral lists this ribosomal RNA (468 nucleotides) under uncultured bacterium. RNAcentral's name for it is "partial 16S ribosomal RNA". It matches the Rfam family "Bacterial small subunit ribosomal RNA", at positions 28 to 507 of the family's 1533-position model. The record is from RNAcentral.